UAAUGUAUCGCUAACGUGCCCUGGAGCCGGGGAUAGCCGGGGGAAACUCCGGGUAAUACCCGAUGACAUAUUCCUUUCGCAUGGAAGGAAUCUCAAAGGUGCAAUCCACUCUGGGAGCGGGCGAUAUCGUAUCAGCUAGUUGGUGAGGUAACGGCUCACCAAGGCGACGACGCGUAGCCGGACUGAGAGGUUGGCCGGCCACAUUGGGACUGAGACACUGCCCAG
Molecule: ribosomal RNA, 225 nt
Filed under: uncultured bacterium
Lineage: Bacteria
Description: partial 16S ribosomal RNA
Rfam family: Bacterial small subunit ribosomal RNA
Source: RNAcentral